CUUCCCCCGUUUCCCCUUGUUUUUUCUUCUACGAAUUCUUGCUAACUAUUAUUUUCUACAGUGAACCUGCGGAAGGAUCAUUAACGAGUUAGGGUCUUCUAGGCCUGACCUCCCAACCCUUUGUUUACUAGACCUCUGUUGCUUCGGCGGAUCCGUCUCAAACUGACCGCCGGAGGACCGCCCAACUGGGCGAUCCUCUGGCCAGUGUCCGUCGAUAGCCUCUUCAUCCCAACUCUGGAAUAAUCGUGACAAUGCUGUCUAAGUGAAUUUAUUCAAUUAAAAAGCAAAAACUUUCAACAACGGAUCUCUUGGUUCUGGCAUCGAUGAAGAACGCAGCGAAAUGCGAUAAGUAAUGCGAAUUGCAGAAUUCCAGUGAGUCAUCGAAUCUUUGAACGCACAUUGCGCCCUUUGGUAUUCCGAANGGCAUGCCUGUUCGAGCGUCAUUAUCACCCCCCUCAAGCCUCGUGCUUGGUGUUGGACGGCUUGGUGGAAGGGACACACCCUUCCGCCCGUCCUAAAGACAAUGAC
This 528-nucleotide unclassified non-coding RNA is filed under the name Cladophialophora arxii. Its description in RNAcentral is "partial contains 18S rRNA, ITS1, 5.8S rRNA and ITS2". The stretch from base 289 to 443 matches the Rfam family "5.8S ribosomal RNA". Lineage: Eukaryota; Fungi; Ascomycota; Eurotiomycetes; Chaetothyriales; Herpotrichiellaceae. The record is from RNAcentral.